This 497-nucleotide ribosomal RNA is filed under the name uncultured bacterium. RNAcentral's name for it is "partial 16S ribosomal RNA". It matches the Rfam family "Bacterial small subunit ribosomal RNA", at positions 28 to 507 of the family's 1533-position model. The record is from RNAcentral.
GAUGAACGCUGGCGGCGUGCCUAAUACAUGCAAGUCGAGCGAAAAGAUGAGGAGCUUGCUCCUCUGACGUUAGCGGCGCACGGGAGUGUAACACGUGUAUCACCUACCUAUAAUACUGGGAUAACUUCGGGAAACCGGAGCUAAUACCGGAUAAUCUCUUGAACCGCAUGGUUGAAUAGUGAAAGACGGUUUUGCUGUCACGUCUAGCUGGAUCCCGGCCGCUUUAGCUAGUUGUUAAGUUAACGGCUUACCACGGCAACGAUGCGUAGCCGACGUGAGGGGGUGAUAGGCGACACGGGAGCUGAGCCGCGGACCAUGCGCCUACGAGACGCAACAGAAGGGUACGGGCCGCAGUAGUCGAGAGCAUGACGGAGCAACGCGGCGCGAGUGGUGAAGGUCUUCGGUGCGUAAAACUCUGUUAUGAGGUAAGAACAAAUGUGUAAGUAACUAUGCACGUCUUGACGGUACCGAAUCAGAAAGCCACGGCUAACUACGUG